GUCCACGCCCUAAACGAUGAUGACUAGUUGUUGGAGGAGUUAAAUCCUUUAGUAACGCAGCUAACGCGAGAAGUCAUCCGCCUGGGGAGUACGGUCGCAAGAUUAAAACUCAAAGGAAUUGACGGGGGCCCGCACAAGCGGUGGAUGAUGUGGUUUAAUUUCGACGCAACGCGAAAACCUUAACCUACCCUUGACAUGUACGGAAGCCCGCUGAGAGGUGGGUGUGCCCGAAAGGGAGCCGUAACACAGGUGCUGCAUGGCUGUCGU
Molecule: ribosomal RNA, 267 nt
Filed under: uncultured bacterium
Lineage: Bacteria
Description: partial 16S ribosomal RNA
Rfam family: Bacterial small subunit ribosomal RNA
Source: RNAcentral